This 634-nucleotide ribosomal RNA is filed under the name uncultured bacterium. RNAcentral describes it as "bacterial SSU rRNA". It matches the Rfam family "Bacterial small subunit ribosomal RNA", at positions 9 to 655 of the family's 1533-position model. The record is from RNAcentral.
GAGUUUGAACCUGGCUCAGGAUGAACGCUGGCGGCGUGCCUAAUACAUGCAAGUCGAGCGAACCACUUCGGUGGUGAGCGGCGAACGGGUGAGUAACACGUAGGUGAUCUGCCCAUCAGACGGGGACAACGAUUGGAAACGAUCGCUAAUACCGGAUAGGACGAAAGUUUAAAGGUGCUUCUGGCACCGCUGAUGGAUGAGCCUGCGGCGCAUUAGCUAGUUGGUAGGGUAAAGGCCUACCAAGGCGACGAUGCGUAGCCGACCUGAGAGGGUGAACGGCCACACUGGGACUGAGACACGGCCCAGACUCCUACGGGAGGCAGCAGUAGGGAAUCUUCGGCAAUGGGCGAAAGCCUGACCGAGCAACGCCGCGUGAAUGAUGAAGGCCUUCGGGUUGUAAAAUUCUGUUAUAAGGGAAGAACGACUUUAGUAGGAAAUGGCUAGAGUGUGACGGUACCUUAUGAGAAAGCCACGGCUAACUACGUGCCAGCAGCCGCGGUAAUACGUAGGUGGCGAGCGUUGUCCGGAAUUAUUGGGCGUAAAGAGCGCGCAGGUGGUUGAUUAAGUCUGAUGUGAAAGCCCACGGCUUAACCGUGGAGGGUCAUUGGAAACUGGUCGACUUGAGUGCAGAAGA